GAUGAACGCUGGCGGCGUGCCUAAUACAUGCAAGUCGAGCGAACAGACGAGGAGCUUGCUCCUCUGACGUUAGCGGCGGACGGGUGAGUAACACGUGGAUGACCUACCUAUAAGACUGGGAUAACUUCGGGAAACCGGAGCUAAUACCGGAUAACAUGUUGAACCGCAUGGUUCAACAGUGAAAGACGGUUUUGCUGUCACUUAUAGAUGGAUCCGCGUCGCAUUAGCUAGUUGGUAAGGUAACGGCUUACCAAGGCAACGAUGCGUAGCCGACCUGAGAGGGUGAUCGGCCACACUGGAACUGAGACACGGUCCAGACUCCUACGGGAGGCAGCAGUAGGGAAUCUUCCGCAAUGGGCGAAAGCCUGACGGAGCAACGCCGCGUGAGUGAAGAAGGUCUUCGGAUCGUAAAACUCUGUUAUUAGGGAAGAACAAAUGUGUAAGUAACUAUGCACGUCUUGACGGUACCUAAUCAGAAAGCCACGGCUAACUACGUG
RNAcentral lists this ribosomal RNA (497 nucleotides) under uncultured bacterium. RNAcentral describes it as "partial 16S ribosomal RNA". It matches the Rfam family "Bacterial small subunit ribosomal RNA", at positions 28 to 507 of the family's 1533-position model. The record is from RNAcentral.